RNAcentral lists this ribosomal RNA (639 nucleotides) under Entomortierella beljakovae. Its description in RNAcentral is "eukaryotic LSU rRNA". The stretch from base 235 to 388 matches the Rfam family "5.8S ribosomal RNA". The record is from RNAcentral. Lineage: Eukaryota; Fungi; Mortierellomycota; Mortierellomycetes; Mortierellales; Mortierellaceae.
UCGUAACAAGGUUUCCGUAGGUGAACCUGCGGAAGGAUCAUUCAUAAUAAAAGUGUUUUAUGGCACUUUUCAAACAAUCCAUAUCCACCUUGUGUGCAAUGUUUUUUUGAAAGGGGAAGAGUCGCAAGGCUUUUCUCUCCCUUUCUCUUUAACUUAUCAACUCUUUAUUUUUUUAAUUGCCAUUUGUCUGAAAUAAAAUUUAUUAUUAUGAAUAAAAAACUUAAUUCAAAAUAUAACUUUCAACAACGGAUCUCUUGGCUCUCGCAUCGAUGAAGAACGCAGCGAAAUGCGAUACGUAAUGUGAAUUGCAGAAUUCAGUGAAUCAUCGAAUCUUUGAACGCAUAUUGCGCUCUCUGGCAUUCCGGAGAGCAUGCUUGUUUGAGUAUCAGUAAACACCUCAGGUCUCGAGAUAUUAUUAUAUUUCGAGACUUGGAUUUGAGUGAUCCUAACAGAGUCGUCAUAUUGACAAUGGCAGGUCGCUUGAAAUUCAGGUGCAGCUGAACUUUUCUUCUGAGCUAAAAGCAUUAUUUUAUUUAGUCUUUAUUGACUAUUACUUUUUUUGCUGCAGCUAACAUAAAGGGAGAAGAGUUCUUGAUGCUGACUGAUGCAGGAAUUUAUCAGUCUGGUAAAAAAGGACUG